This 478-nucleotide ribosomal RNA is filed under the name uncultured bacterium. Its description in RNAcentral is "partial 16S ribosomal RNA". It matches the Rfam family "Bacterial small subunit ribosomal RNA", at positions 29 to 507 of the family's 1533-position model. The record is from RNAcentral.
AUGAACGCUAGCGGGAGGCCUAACACAUGCAAGCCGAGCGGUAGAGUCUCUUCGGAGACUUGAGAGCGGCGCACGGGUGCGGAACGCGUGUGCAACCUGCCUUUAUCUGGGGGAUAGCCUUUCGAAAGGAAGAUUAAUACCCCAUAAUAUACUGGAUGGCAUCAUCUGGUAUUGAAAACUCCGGUGGAUAGAGAUGGGCACGCGCAAGAUUAGAUAGUUGGUGAGGUAACGGCUCACCAAGUCAGCGAUCUUUAGGGGGCCUGAGAGGGUGAUCCCCCACACUGGUACUGAGACACGGACCAGACUCCUACGGGAGGCAGCAGUGAGGAAUAUUGGACAAUGGGUGAGAGCCUGAUCCAGCCAUCCCGCGUGAAGGACGACGGCCCUAUGGGUUGUAAACUUCUUUUGUAUAGGGAUAAACCUAGAUACGUGUAUCUAGCUGAAGGUACUAUACGAAUAAGCACCGGCUAACUCCGUG